AUUACGGCUCUUGGCUGGGACGUGUUCCCUUAUCUGAUCCGUAGAGGAAUGCACCUUGCCUCUUGGCAAAAAAUAAAUUGGGUUAUAUUGUGUGGUAGGUUAAUUCUCGAAGCACAUAGAUUUC
The submitters of this non-coding RNA (124 nucleotides) gave its source as unclassified sequences. The record is from Rfam.